GGUUGGGGGGUUGUGAUUGGCUGAUUGUCCCAAGAUAGGCGGGCAGGGGAGCUCCCAGCUUGGCCCAGGGGUCUGGGAGCCCAGGUCCUGCGGGAUCCGGAGGCCUCGAGCACAUCUCUGCCUGCUCCUGUUUGCCCGAAGCCAGCUGUGAGUUGGGUACCGUGCAGGGGGUCCCAUGGUCGCGUGUGGCCUGAGCCGGGCCUGGAGGGUGCUGAUGGGAGCUGCGGCCCUGCUCCCCUUGGUGGGGUCCACGCCGGGGAUCAGCUCUAAGGCAGGAAGCGGCUGGGCUGACUGCUGUGUCCGGGACCCGCGGGCUGCGGCGCAGGCCAGGGGCAUCUCCGGGAACCAGGAACGAGCCCCCCAUGUGACAUCUGUUACGAUCGUGACCGUCGGGACCAGUGGGGGCCCCUGCUCCUGUCGCUGGCAGCAGUGCGCGGCUGGAAAAGCAGACAGCGCGUUCUCAGGGACAUGCGAGCUGAGGGGCUGCAUGGUCUCUUGAUGCCAGCCAUCCUGACAUUCCCGAGCCACAUGCCUGGGGUACCAGCUGGACGCUCUUUCACUUGAUAGGAUGCUGGAAAAGAUACAGGUGUGAUGAAAGGUUAAAUUAAAAAUUGAAAAAACUGAUGGUAGUAAACCGUCCAUUGCCAUUAAUCUCCCUCCAAGUCCUCCCCGUCACUUUGAACACACUCACGCCAUCACCCCGGCCACUUUCUGCAGCAGCUCUG
This 725-nucleotide long non-coding RNA is filed under the name Chinchilla lanigera (long-tailed chinchilla). Its description in RNAcentral is "lncRNA (ENSCLAG00000028133.1)". The record is from RNAcentral. Lineage: Eukaryota; Metazoa; Chordata; Mammalia; Rodentia; Chinchillidae.